GUUAUUGCCAGGGGAAAGCUCCCACUGUGUCACCUGAGGAGCCUCCUGGCUGCACUAAUGGAGGUCAGGGCUACAGGGGAAUUCUCAGCGUGAUGGACGUCAAUGUCAAGAAAAACCUAUUCCUUGACUUUUACCUGAGGGCCUAUAUAACAGGGUACCGGGUCCUACAAACUUACACUCCAGCCUCUGGAUCCUGGCAUCAAUGGGAAAUGGCUACAAAUGCUGUUAAGAUGGGGCUGCUCUUGUUCAGUAAUGCUGCUGGGGGUAAGAGCGAUAGGCUGAGGAACCUGUGAACGAAACGCUG
Molecule: long non-coding RNA, 304 nt
Organism: Callorhinchus milii (elephant shark)
Lineage: Eukaryota; Metazoa; Chordata; Chondrichthyes; Chimaeriformes; Callorhinchidae
Exons: 3
Source: RefSeq, a predicted model, not a curated record